This 496-nucleotide ribosomal RNA is filed under the name uncultured bacterium. RNAcentral's name for it is "partial 16S ribosomal RNA". It matches the Rfam family "Bacterial small subunit ribosomal RNA", at positions 29 to 507 of the family's 1533-position model. The record is from RNAcentral.
AUGCACGCUGGCGGCGUGCCUAAUACAUGCAAGUCGAGCGAACAGACGAGGAGCUUGCUCCUCUGACGUUAGCGGCGGACGGGUGAGUAACACGUGGAUAACCUACCUAUAAGACUGGGAUAACUUCGGGAAACCGGAGCUAAUACCGGAUAAUAUAUUGAACCGCAUGGUUCAAUAGUGAAAGACGGUUUUGCUGUCACUUAUAGAUGGAUCCGCGCCGCAUUAGCUAGUUGGUAAGGUAACGGCUUACCAAGGCGACGAUGCGUAGCCGACCUGAGAGGGUGAUCGGCAACACUGGAACUGAGACACGGUCCAGACUCCUACGGGAGGCAGCAGUAGGGAAUCUUCCGCAAUGGGCGAAAGCCUGACGGAGCAACGCCGCGUGAGUGAUGAAGGUCUUCGGAUCGUAAAACUCUGUUAUUAGGGAAGAACAAAUGUGUAAGUAACUAUGCACGUCUUGACGGUACCUAAUCAGAAAGCCACGGCUAACUACGUG